GCAAGUCGAACGGUGAAGCAGAGCUUGCUCUGUGGAUCAGUGGCGAAAGGGUGAGUAACGCGUGAGUAAGCUGCCCUCAAGUUUGGAAUAAUUCACCGAAAGGUGGACUAAUACCGGAUGUGGUUAUAAUAUUGCAUAUUGUUAUAACUAAAGAUUUAUCGCUUGAGGAUGUGCUCGCGUCCAAUUACGCUUGUUGGUGAGGUAACGGCUCACCAAGGCUAUGACGGGUAGGUGGUCUGAGAGGAUGGUC
This 250-nucleotide ribosomal RNA is filed under the name uncultured bacterium. RNAcentral's name for it is "partial 16S ribosomal RNA". It matches the Rfam family "Bacterial small subunit ribosomal RNA", at positions 57 to 305 of the family's 1533-position model. The record is from RNAcentral.